GAUAGAAAUGGUUAGAUUUGCGAGCGCUUUUUUAAUAAAAUUAAAUAACCUUAUUCUUCUUUUGAGUAAUCAUGCAGUGAUGCAAUUUAAGAAAUAAAUACAAUAUCGCAUUUAUUAACGUGUAACUUAUGUAAUCUUAUUUUACGUUCAAAAAAGUGUAGCAUACAAUCGCGGUCGUGGAAGGAACGCAUCCUUCAAUCAAUGACAGGUGGCGAGUUGACAGCGUAUUCGGCCUCGGAAGAUAUUUCGAACGUUAUUUUUACCAACAAUACUGCGUAAAAUAUACAUAAAAACAUGCAACAAAUAACAGUAUUCAUGGAUAUUGAAAGUUCACGUUCGUAUAUCGACGAGCUGUAUUCGUCAGAUGCGCCUAAGGUUGUGGAGGCCUUAGUGGCGCUGAAGAACUCAGUGAUAGGCAGCAACAGACAGAAGAGUUCGGUGAUACAGCAAGGAGUAGUGCCGAGGUUGCUGCAACUAAUGUCAGAUGAAACGCUGGACCCCAACAUAAGACUUGAAGCCACCAUCACAAUCGGUUCACUUGCAAAAGGCACAACAGAGAAUGUGAACUCCUUAGUAGAGCAAGGUACCGCCACAGCGCUGGUGGAACUCCUCAAAACGGCACCGGUUGGCACAAAGUUGGCAGAAGCUGGAUUAUGUGCACUGCGGAGUGUGUUCAUGACCCCACCUGCACCUAUAUCAGCCUUGCCAGCAGACAUGAGGCUUCUAACGAGGCUUACACAAAUAGCCCGCGAAGGUUCCCCAACAGCCCGAGCGUGCGUGGUCCGUAUCCUCUCAAUCUGGUGCGGUGGCGCGGGGGAACAAGAGGCGUUAUGUGCCGCGGGAGCGUGCGAGGCUGCUGCAGCGCUUUUAGCAGCCACGCCACCGGCGGCGCCUGCGCUGCCAGCGCUUGAUUUACUGGCUGCAAUGUGCUUUGAGAAUACCAAUGUGUCGCAUAUUGCGCUGAAUACGAGGCAUGGUGACAAAACAAUCCCAGAGCUGUUAUCAACACUGGUAUGUCGGGACAAGCCAUUACCAGUGGCAAUGGGUGCCGCAAGAUGCCUUACAUUCAUGCAUCGAGCUAAUGCUUUGCCUGCUGAUGAUGCUCGUGUGGUAUUCGGCGCUCUCCCGUGCCUCGCCCGGCUGUGCACGAAGGACAUGCCGGAAGACAUCCGAGCGUCCGCCGCCGAGACCUUAGCUUAUCUAGCAGAGGUAGACACAUCCCUCCAAAGGCUAGCAGCGAUAUCUAACCACCUCAUGACGUCACUAGCAGAGAUAGUCAACUGCCAAUCUCCGGCAGCUAAGCAAGGCGCAUUCAAAUGUUUCGCGUCGCUCGGCGCUAAUGAUGAGGAUAUUCGCAAGAGGAUCAUUGAGACACAUGGGUUGAUGGUCCAUGUUGUUAAUGGCAUGAAUAACCCGGAGGCUUCGGUAAGAUUAGCAGCAGUCAGAUGUCUACACUCAUUAUCAAGAUCUGUGCAACAACUCAGGACAACAUUUCAGGACCAUGCCGUAUGGAAGCCCCUUAUGCAAUUACUAACGGACUCGCCGGGAACAGAACUACUCACAGUCGGUUCAUCAACGCUCUGCAAUUUACUUCUAGAAUUCUCUCCGGCCAAAGAACCAAUGUUGGAUCAAGGUGCAGUAGAAAUGUUGUGUAAUUUGACGAAGAGGCCCGAAGCUGCCUUGAGAUUGAACGGAAUUUGGGCGCUAAUGAAUAUGGCUUUUCAGGCGGAACAGAAGGUGAAGCAGCGCAUCCUGAGCUGCCUGGGCACGGAGCAGAUGUUCCGGCUGCUGGGCGACGCCGACACGCGCGUCAUCAUGAAGACGCUCGGCCUGCUGCGCAACCUGCUGUCCACCCGCCACCACAUCGACGCCAUCAUGACCGACUACUCCGAGCAGGUCAUGCAGGCUGUGAUAGUAGUUCUAGAAGGUUCGUACCCAGCCGAGGUGAAAGAACAAGCGUUAUGUAUCCUGGGCAACAUUGGCGACGGAGAAAAGGCUAAGGAUCUCAUCAUGGCCAACGAAGAUGUGCUCAGAAAACUUGUCGACUAUCUGGUCCAGGCAUCCAAUCGGUCCUGGGGGCAAACAUCGACCGAGUACGUGACGAGAGCGAUACAAUGGGCGAUUGAAAAGACGACGGAAGGCGCACCCGGAGAGCAAGCUGCAGGAGGCGGCGCUGUUCGUGUGCGGCAACCUAGUGUGGCGCGGCGAGGCGGGCGCGGCGGCGCGGCAGGCGCGCCUGGCCGAGCUCGGCGUGCUGCGCGCGCUCAAGCUGCUGCGCGCAAGGCACGACGCCGCGCAUCUGCACGACAAGUGAGUAUACACAGUAGCCCUGCUACCUGGUGUGGCGCGGCGAGGCGGGCGCGGCGGCGCGGCAGGCGCGCCUGGCCGAGCUCGGCGCUGCGCGCGCUCAAGCUGCUGCGCGCAAGGCACGACGCCGCGCAUCUGCACGACAAGUGAGUAUACACAGUAGCCCUGCUACCUGGUGUGGCGCGGCGAGGCGGGCGCGGCGGCGCGGCAGGCGCGCCUGGCCGAGCUCGGCGUGCUGCGCGCGCUCAAGCUGCUGCGCGCAAGGCACGACGCCGCGCAUCUGCACGACAAGUGAGUAUACACAGUAGCCCUGCUACCUGGUGUGGCGCGGCGAGGCGGGCGCGGCGGCGCGGCAGGCGCGCCUGGCCGAGCUCGGCGUGCUGCGCGCGCUCAAGCUGCUGCGCGCAAGGCACGACGCCGCGCAUCUGCACGACAAAGUGAAGACGGCUCUGGCGCAGUUUAACGACUUCUCAUAAUGGCACAAGGGCCGCAGACACAAACGUAUGAAACGAUAGUGUCUGUUUAGUUAUAGUAACGCUUGUGAUUCAGUCGCGCGCGACAGUGAGUUAUCCAGUCAUAAACCUUAUGAUAUUACGACACUACGUCUAGCUCUAAGUAUUUAAUUGUACAUAAAUAAGUUCACAAAUUGUUAUAUCGACGAGGAGUGUUAUUGAAUUUAUUUAUUUUUUAAUUUAAUUAUCUCACAGUAACUGUACAUUUCAUACCAUUCAUGUAUAUGUAACAUUUUGACGAGUAUCUCUCCCAAAGAAUACGAUACGCGUUUCCAACGACAGAGGUGCUAGAUCCCCUCGCAAAAUGGAUAUUUUUGUGAAACUAGCGGAAAAUGUAGUUAAACUACAAUAGUGUAAUUUAGUUAGUUGUUGAUAUUGCGGCCGUUUUGUAUGCGUGUGUAUAUUGGAAUCAUGUUUAUCGGUCGAAUUGUCCGACAGUGGGUGUCAUAUUUUUGUCAUUUCUCAAAAUCAGUAUUGAUUGUAUUUUGUGUAGGUUCGUACCCCUUGGUGCGGUUAAAAUACUCAUGUGUACUUUGUUGUAUACAGUUAAGUUUUGGAAUGGCUGAUUUUAGUCUAAAUUCAACGUUUAUACGACGGAUUUGGCUAGUGAAGUGCGGUAACACAGUCAAUUUUACUAUCGGUGUUACCAAUUCGAAAAAUAUUUUUUCUAUUAUAAAUUGUCUCUUUUAUUGAUGUUUCAUGUGUCUUAUAUCGUUAAGCUUUAGUCUGCUUAUAUUUAGAAAAUAUCAAGCUCAAAAUACGGCUUAAAGUUUAAUAAAUAACUUUAUAUUUAAAGUUUUUCCAUCUAUCAUAUCCACGGUCGGACUUAUGAAAAGUAAAUAAAUUGAAUACGAAAAUACGAACUCACAUUUUGGAUCCUAAAUAUCAUGAAAAUAUAUUUACAAAAAUAAAUUCACUUGUAAAUAAAUACUGAAGAAAUAAAUGGAUUUCGUAUUUUCGUCAAGCGCGAGUCUCAAGACAACGGCGAUAUAUAACAGGUAGCUUUUGAUAACGCAUUGAAUGUAUGACUGUAUGUAGAUAACUAAUUCUAAUACUUUUACCUUCAGAAUAACUGCUUUUGGGCUAUAUUUUAUUAAUAAAAUAAAUAUACUUGAUGCCAACGCUAUGCAAAUAUAAUAUCUUCCAUUUCUAUAAAAUUGUGUAUUCUUUGACAUUAUUUCGUUGGGCUUCACAAUAAGCGGUGAACGGAUAGGAAUUUCGAAGAAAUGUUAUCUAUGCUGGAUUAGCGGACAUGUUUCACCAUUAUUUUUAGAAUGGUUCAAUCUUUAAGAUAAAUUCAGUCUUUCAAAAGUUGAAAGUUCAGAAGUUAAUAUUUUUUGGUAUUCAUUUAUGUUUCUUUCAUAGUAUGUUCUUAAAAUUAUUCUUCAUUCUUCGUCUGUUCUCCGCUUAUUUCGCAGCCCAAACUAUCAGUUAGACUGAUGUGAUAUCAACCUACAUUGAUGCAUCUGAUGUAAACGCUAACUUUACAUAUUAAUUCAAAUAAAUGUGAUGUUGUUGCCUUUCUAAAUACUACGUAAUUAAAUGAACAGUAUACUGGGUUUAACUUGUGAUACAAAAUCCAAGUGCGAACUAUUGCGAAUUAAUAUGAAAAGUUAUAUGUAUAACAAUAUAUAAUUAUGUAUAUAGAGCCAGGUAGCUUAAUAAAUGUUUGUCGCUCAUUACAUUAUGUUAUUGUUAAUAUUUCGAACACGAAAAUUGUAGGUACAUUAUUUUGGUACUUUGAUCGGUGUAAUUUAAUUUAAAUGAUGUUAGUAAUUGUAUAAAAUGUUUCGUUUGCACUCAUGUUCUGACAAAAGUGUUUUCACACUUGCUUGCCAAACAAUUGGAUAGUUUAAAUCAUGUUAAAUGUUAAUUAAAAUAUUGACUUAAAAUGUGCUAGUUAUUACAAUGUGUUCAAUGUGCGUAUGUGAAAUUAUUGAGUACCUUAAAAUGCCUAUAUUAUGUGUGAAUUAUACAUGUUGUUCAUCUGAAUGUGUAAUUGUUUAAGUGGUAAUUCAUUAGGUAUUAAAUUAAUAUGAAGGUUUCGCUAGGAAGUUAGCUAGCAAUCUUUUUUUUGGUUUUACAUUAAUGAUCUUUGACAUUGACACAAGCAAUUACGAUCGUCCAUUGUCAUAUAGGACGCAAACAAGUGUGAAAAAGCAAUAUUGAUUUUGAUGUUUUAUAUAAAUUAUAUACAAAUUAUGUUCAAAUGACUGAUAGAUUAGGCUAAUUCUUCGACGAAUAAAUGGGUUUUUGAUUAUUUCAAUGAAUGAGUCGCUUCACCAUCAUUUUUUUUCUAUUUAUUGUAAAAUUCUCUCGUUCUCAAUGUACCAAGUUGUAUAAUUUCGCUCAUAUUUUUGACAUUGCGAGUUCUGAAAUGUAAAAUAUUAUUUAUGACAAGUUACGUUUUUCAUAUCUAUUAAUAUGAAGAUAAUGCGAAAAC
Molecule: RNA transcript, 5262 nt
Organism: Helicoverpa armigera (cotton bollworm)
Lineage: Eukaryota; Metazoa; Arthropoda; Insecta; Lepidoptera; Noctuidae
Gene name: armadillo repeat-containing protein 8
Exons: 15
Source: RefSeq, a predicted model, not a curated record